This 1007-nucleotide long non-coding RNA is filed under the name Homo sapiens (human). RNAcentral's name for it is "HSALNT0328095". Lineage: Eukaryota; Metazoa; Chordata; Mammalia; Primates; Hominidae. The record is from RNAcentral.
AAUCAACACUCCACUCAGACAAUGCCCAGACCUCCAGAAACCAUGUGUCAAGCUCGGAUUGCCUUAGACAGGUGCAAUUUAAGAACAGCUUUCAUCCUCUUUUCUCUCAUAUUGUCACACUAUGUGUUCUGACUUCUGGCUCCUUUCCUCACAAGAAGCUCACCCAGCUGGAACUCUUAUGGGACCUUGGCACCAGAGACCACAAAUUCCUCUUUGAAGUUUUCUAACAGCAACAAUGGUAUUUCUGACUUGGCUUUCUUGUAUUUCUCUCACGUUAACAAAAUUGGUUCAGCAUCUACCAUGGGCUACAUGCUGAGCUACAGAGUUUCGCUCUGUCGCCCAGGCUGGAGUGCAGUGGCGCGCGAUCUCGGUUCACUGCAAGCUCCACCUCCCGGGUUCACGCCAUUCUCCUGCCUCAGCCUCCUGAGUAGCUGGGACUACAGGCGCCCGCCACCACACCCAGGAAUCCAACUUGCUGUUUGCUAUCACAUGUGCUAUACAUGCUGUUGAUGAAACUGCUAAAGGGGCUGAAUGUGACUGACGUCUUUGGAAGGAUGAGACUUAGCGUGCCUGUACAGUUGUGUCCAAAUGCUGUCCUCAUCUCCCAAUGAAAAGAUACAUGAAAAGAAAGAAGGAGAGAAGGAAGAAAGGAGGGCGGAAGGAAAGGAAGAAGGGAGAGAAGAAGAGAAGAAAGAAGCAGAGAAAGGAAGAGAAAAGAAAUUACGGCCAGUGCGGUGGCUCACGCCUGUAAUCCUAGCACUUUGGGAGGCCUAAGCGGGCUGAUCACCUGAGGUCAGGAGUUCGUAAGCCAGCCUGGCCAACAUGGUGAAACCCUAUCUCUACUAAAAAUACAAAAAUCAGCAGGGCAUGGUGGUGCGUGCCUGUAAUCCCAGCUACCUGGGAGGCUGAGGUAGGAGAAUCGCUGGAACCCGAGAGGCGGAGGCUGCAGUGAGUUGAGAUCAUGUCACUGCACUCCAGGCUGGGCAACAGAGUGAGACUCUGUCUCA